AACCUAGCACACCUGCGGUGUGUACCUGCGGAAGGAUCAUUAAAGAGUUUAACUACUCAAACCAUUGUGAACCUUACCUCAACCGUUGCUUCGGCGGGCGGGCCCGGGCCAAGCCCGGCGCCCCCCCGGCCCCUCGCGGGCGCCCGCCGGAGGUUAACCGAACCCUUGAAUUGUAUGGCCUCUCUGAGUCUUCUGUACUGAAUAAGUCAAAACUUUUAACAAUGGAUCUCAGAUCGGAAG
Molecule: unclassified non-coding RNA, 240 nt
Filed under: soil metagenome
Description: partial contains 5.8S ribosomal RNA, internal transcribed spacer 2, and large subunit ribosomal RNA
Source: RNAcentral